RNAcentral lists this transfer RNA (64 nucleotides) under Lanka ramakrishnai. Its description in RNAcentral is "tRNA-Cys". The record is from RNAcentral. Lineage: Eukaryota; Metazoa; Arthropoda; Insecta; Coleoptera; Chrysomelidae.
AGUCUUAUAGUCAAAUUGAAUGAUAUUAAAUUGCAAAUUUAAAGUUAAAUAAUUUUUAAGACUU